RNAcentral lists this long non-coding RNA (265 nucleotides) under Sinocyclocheilus grahami. RNAcentral describes it as "lncRNA (ENSSGRG00000020374.1)". Lineage: Eukaryota; Metazoa; Chordata; Actinopteri; Cypriniformes; Cyprinidae. The record is from RNAcentral.
CCAGGACCCCCUGGACCACCAGGAGAGAGGUGCUUGUAAGGGUCUACAAGGAUUUAUUGGCAAAGCCGGAAACCCAGGAACACCAGGAGCUGCUGGGCCCCCAGGACCCCCUGGUACUGCGGGCCUUCCAGGACUUAAGGGCGAUAAGGGUGAAAUUGGUGUUGGAGUGCCAGGUUCAAGAGGAGAGCGAGGAGACCCAGGGCCUAGGGUAAUGUCCACAAUGAAUCCAUCUCUUGUUCAUUUGUUUGUAUGCAGAUUGUUAUAG